This 286-nucleotide unclassified non-coding RNA is filed under the name Glomus sp. Its description in RNAcentral is "partial contains 5.8S ribosomal RNA and internal transcribed spacer 2". The stretch from base 1 to 65 matches the Rfam family "5.8S ribosomal RNA", at positions 84 to 154 of the family's 154-position model. The record is from RNAcentral. Lineage: Eukaryota; Fungi; Glomeromycota; Glomeromycetes; Glomerales; Glomeraceae.
GUGAAUCAUCAAAUCUUUGAACGCAAAUUGCACUCUCUUCGGAGAGUAUGCCUGUUUGAGGGUCAGCCUAAAAAAAAUCGACAUAGUUGCUGUUUCGCGGUGACAUUCGUCUAAAUUGGGUCAUCUUAAACCUUUGGGUUUUAAGCGGCUUAAAAUUUUCUUUACGGUUCCACGAACGUUUCUAAGAUUUACUUCUUACGUUAAAGGUAUCUAUUUUUAUUAUACGUGUUCUUUGCAUCUGGUUACUUCCCUAACUUUUUCGUUAUCUUACCUCAUACAGGUAAGA